This 294-nucleotide ribosomal RNA is filed under the name Triticum aestivum (bread wheat). Its description in RNAcentral is "partial small subunit ribosomal RNA". The record is from RNAcentral. Lineage: Eukaryota; Viridiplantae; Streptophyta; Magnoliopsida; Poales; Poaceae.
AUGGCUUCCUCGCGUGCCAUUAUGAUACUUUCCUUGUUUGCGUUGGCAUUGCCGCACUCUGUUGUGCAGGCUAGGAUGAUGCCAAGUGAUCAACCACAGAUGCUCGCUGAGAAGACGAUCAGCCCACCUCGAUACUCGUCAUCUCCAGAUUUGCUUCAAGUGUUCAGGGCGCCACCACCGCCAAUCCCUGUUACGUUUGCUGGGAACAUUGAGAUCACCGGUGCCAAGCGUAGGCGUGCUAGCCAGGUCGUCGUUAAGGGCUCAGUUCCGAGCCCCGGAGUCGGUCACCACUAG